This 520-nucleotide ribosomal RNA is filed under the name uncultured bacterium. RNAcentral's name for it is "bacterial SSU rRNA". It matches the Rfam family "Bacterial small subunit ribosomal RNA", at positions 366 to 895 of the family's 1533-position model. The record is from RNAcentral.
GCGCAAUGGGCGGAAGCCUGACGCAGCGACGCCGCGUGGGGGAUGACGGCCUUCGGGUUGUAGACCUCUUUCGACUCCGACGAAGCGAGAGUGACGGUAGGAGUAGAAGAAGCACCGGCCAACUACGUGCCAGCAGCCGCGGUAAUACGUAGGGUGCGAGCGUUGUCCGGAAUUAUUGGGCGUAAAGAGCUCGUAGGCGGUGUGUCACGUCGAUCGUGAAAACUUGGGGCUUAACCCUGAGCGUGCGGUCGAUACGGGCAUCACUUGAGUUCGGCAGGGGAGACUGGAAUUCCUGGUGUAGCGGUGAAAUGCGCAGAUAUCAGGAGGAACACCGGUGGCGAAGGCGGGUCUCUGGGCCGAUACUGACGCUGAGGAGCGAAAGCGUGGGGAGCGAACAAGAUUAGAUACCCUGGUAGUCCACGCCGUAAACGGUGGGCGCUAGGUGUGGGGGCCAUUCCACGGUCUCUGUGCCGCAGCUAACGCAUUAAGCGCCCCGCCUGGGGAGUACGGCCGCAAGGCU